This 472-nucleotide ribosomal RNA is filed under the name uncultured bacterium. Its description in RNAcentral is "bacterial SSU rRNA". It matches the Rfam family "Bacterial small subunit ribosomal RNA", at positions 28 to 507 of the family's 1533-position model. The record is from RNAcentral.
GACGAACGCUGGCGGCGCGCCUAACACAUGCAAGUCGAACGGAAGCGAGAGGAGCUUGCUCUUCUUGCUUUAGUGGCGGACGGGUGAGUAACACGUGAGCAACCUGCCUUUCAGAGGGGGAUAACGUUUGGAAACGAACGCUAAUACCGCAUGACAUCACGAGAGGACAUCCUCUUGUGAUCAAAGGAGCAAUCCGCUGAAAGAUGGGCUCGCGUCCGAUUAGAUAGUUGGCGGGGUAACGGCCCACCAAGUCGACGAUCGGUAGCCGGACUGAGAGGUUGAACGGCCACAUUGGGACUGAGACACGGCCCAGACUCCUACGGGAGGCAGCAGUGGGGAAUAUUGGUCAAUGGGGGAAACCCUGAACCAGCGACGCCGCGUGAGGGAAGAAGGUCUUCGGGAUUGUAAACCUCUAGUCUUCAGGGACGAACGAAUGACGGUACCUGAGGAGGAAGCCACGGCUAACUACGUG